GGGAUGAUGAUUAUGAUAAUGAACUUGGAAUGACAGAGGAAGAUGAAGACUCCGGUAUUGAGUCUCCUGUCCAUCUAGAUGUUUGUACUCGUAAUCACUACCGGAAAUAUGAUUUACAUGAUGCUGUAAAUGAAAUUUCUGAUUUUGCUUGUGAUAGGGACAUCAGCAAGGUUUUAGGAACAUGCCCUAGGAUAUCACUCAAUUUUUGUAAUUCCAACUCUCAUCUCCUGGAUGUUCCUUCUGAUAAAAGGGUUGAUCAAGAAGGACAAGAUGACUCGUGCACAUCCUCUGAUACAGUGGCUUCUUCACAAGGGACUGAGGUGAAGGUUGAAAUUGAUGAUCACUGGCCAUGUAGUUUCAAUGAACCUUGUGGAAGUGGCGGGGAUCAUGUUUUAGAACCUUGUGAUGUCAAAGUUUGGGAUAAUGAUUAUAUGAUAUGCCCAAAAAGUAAAGUUGACUUUUUGCCUACUUGCAGUAUGAUUGAGGAGGUUUUCGGGGAUGGUUCAUGGAAUUACAAGGCAAAAGAUUACUAGAGCCCAAG
Molecule: long non-coding RNA, 541 nt
Filed under: Manihot esculenta (cassava)
Lineage: Eukaryota; Viridiplantae; Streptophyta; Magnoliopsida; Malpighiales; Euphorbiaceae
Description: long non-coding RNA (MESC_LNC003544)
Source: RNAcentral